RNAcentral lists this ribosomal RNA (120 nucleotides) under Betta splendens (Siamese fighting fish). The record is from RNAcentral. Lineage: Eukaryota; Metazoa; Chordata; Actinopteri; Anabantiformes; Osphronemidae.
GCUUAUGGCCAUACCACCCUGAGCACGCCCGAUCUUGUCUGAUCUCGGAAGCUAAGCAGGGCUCGAGCCUGGUUAGUACUUGGAUAGGAGACCGCCUGGGAAUACCAGGUGCUGUAAGCU